AGUGAACGCUGGCGGCAGGCCUAACACAUGCAAGUCGAGCGAAUGAAGUUCCUUCGGGAACGGAUUUAGCGGCGGACGGGUGAGUAACACGUGGGCAACCUGCCUCAUAGAGGGGAAUAGCCUUCCGAAAGGGAGAUUAAUACCGCAUAAGAUUGUAGUACCGCAUGGUACAGCAAUUAAAGGAGCAAUCCGCUAUGAGAUGGGCCCGCGGCGCAUUAGCUAGUUGGUGAGGUAACGGCUCACCAAGGCGACGAUGCGUAGCCGACCUGAGAGGGUGAUCGGCCACAUUGGGACUGAGACACGGCCCAGACUCCUACGGGAGGCAGCAGUGGGGAAUAUUGCACAAUGGGGGAAACCCUGAUGCAGCAACGCCGCGUGAGUGAUGACGGCCU
RNAcentral lists this ribosomal RNA (392 nucleotides) under uncultured bacterium. RNAcentral's name for it is "bacterial SSU rRNA". It matches the Rfam family "Bacterial small subunit ribosomal RNA", at positions 29 to 417 of the family's 1533-position model. The record is from RNAcentral.